This 254-nucleotide ribosomal RNA is filed under the name uncultured bacterium. RNAcentral describes it as "partial 16S ribosomal RNA". It matches the Rfam family "Bacterial small subunit ribosomal RNA", at positions 524 to 776 of the family's 1533-position model. The record is from RNAcentral.
UACGUAGGGUGCAAGCGUUGUCCGGAAUUAUUGGGCGUAAAGAGCUCGUAGGCGGUCUGUCACGUCGGCUGUGAAAACCCGAGGCUCAACCUCGGGCCUGCAGUCGAUACGGGCAUCACUGGAGUUCGGCAGGGGAGACUGGAAUUCCUGGUGUAGCGGUGAAAUGCGCAGAUAUCAGGAGGAACACCGGUGGCGAAGGCGGGUCUCUGGGCCGAUACUGACGCUGAGGAGCGAAAGCGUGGGGAGCGAACAGG